This 766-nucleotide ribosomal RNA is filed under the name Staphylococcus epidermidis. RNAcentral describes it as "bacterial SSU rRNA". It matches the Rfam family "Bacterial small subunit ribosomal RNA", at positions 28 to 776 of the family's 1533-position model. Lineage: Bacteria; Bacillati; Bacillota; Bacilli; Caryophanales; Staphylococcaceae. The record is from RNAcentral.
GAUGAACGCUGGCGGCGUGCCUAAUACAUGCAAGUCGAGCGAACAGACGAGGAGCUUGCUCCUCUGACGUUAGCGGCGGACGGGUGAGUAACACGUGGAUAACCUACCUAUAAGACUGGGAUAACUUCGGGAAACCGGAGCUAAUACCGGAUAAUAUAUUGAACCGCAUGGUUCAAUAGUGAAAGACGGUUUUGCUGUCACUUAUAGAUGGAUCCGCGCCGCAUUAGCUAGUUGGUAAGGUAACGGCUUACCAAGGCAACGAUGCGUAGCCGACCUGAGAGGGUGAUCGGCCACACUGGAACUGAGACACGGUCCAGACUCCUACGGGAGGCAGCAGUAGGGAAUCUUCCGCAAUGGGCGAAAGCCUGACGGAGCAACGCCGCGUGAGUGAUGAAGGUCUUCGGAUCGUAAAACUCUGUUAUUAGGGAAGAACAAAUGUGUAAGUAACUAUGCACGUCUUGACGGUACCUAAUCAGAAAGCCACGGCUAACUACGUGCCAGCAGCCGCGGUAAUACGUAGGUGGCAAGCGUUAUCCGGAAUUAUUGGGCGUAAAGCGCGCGUAGGCGGUUUUUUAAGUCUGAUGUGAAAGCCCACGGCUCAACCGUGGAGGGUCAUUGGAAACUGGAAAACUUGAGUGCAGAAGAGGAAAGUGGAAUUCCAUGUGUAGCGGUGAAAUGCGCAGAGAUAUGGAGGAACACCAGUGGCGAAGGCGACUUUCUGGUCUGUAACUGACGCUGAUGUGCGAAAGCGUGGGGAUCAAACGGG